UUGCCUUAGUAACGGCGAGUGAAGCGGCAACAGCUCAAAUUUGAAAGCUGGCCCUUUUAGGGUCCGCGUUGUAAUCUGUAGAGGAUGGUUCGGCGAGGGCUCCCGCCUAAGUCCCCUGGAACGGGGCGUCAUAGAGGGUGAGAAUCCCGUAUGCGGUGGGUUGCUUUAGCCAUGUGAACCUCCUUCGACGAGUCGAGUUGUUUGGGAAUGCAGCUCUAAAUGGGAGGUAAAUUUCUUCUAAAGCUAAAUACCGGCCAGAGACCGAUAGCGCACAAGUAGAGUGAUCGAAAGAUGAAAAGCACUUUGGAAAGAGAGUUAAAAAGUACGUGAAAUUGUUGAAAGGGAAGCGCUUGCAACCAGACUUGUCCGCAGUUGCUCAGCCGGUCUCCUGACCGGCGUACUCUUCUGCGGCCAGGCCAGCAUCAGUUCGGGCGGUCGGAUAAAGGCCUCGGGAAUGUGGCUCCUCUCGGGGAGUGUUAUAGCCCGGGGCGGAAUGCGGCCAGCCUGGACUGAGGAUCUCGCUUCGGCAAGGAUGCUGGCGUAAUGGUUGUAAGCGGCCCGUCUUGAAACACGGACCAAGGAGUCUAACAUCUAUGCGAGUGUUUGGGUGUCAAACCCAUACGCGUAAUGAAAGUGAACGGAGGUGGGAACCCGCAAGGGCGCACCAUCGGCCGAUCCUGAUGUCUUCGGAUGGAUUUGAGCAAGAGCAUAGCUGUUGGGACCCGAAAGAUGGUGAACUAUGCCUGAAUAGGGUGAAGCCAGAGGAAACUCUGGUGGAGGCUCGCAGCGGUUCUGACGUGCAAAUCGAUCGUCAAAUUUGGGUAUAGGGGCGAAAGACUAAUCGAA
This 846-nucleotide ribosomal RNA is filed under the name Neodeightonia subglobosa. Its description in RNAcentral is "partial large subunit ribosomal RNA". It matches the Rfam family "Eukaryotic large subunit ribosomal RNA", at positions 75 to 939 of the family's 3401-position model. Lineage: Eukaryota; Fungi; Ascomycota; Dothideomycetes; Botryosphaeriales; Botryosphaeriaceae. The record is from RNAcentral.